UUUACUUAUUUACUUAUUUGAGAGAGACACAGUGUGAGAGAAAGAGUACUAACAGGAUGGAGGCAGAGGGAGAAGCAGGUCCCCACUGAGCAGGGAGCCCACCAUGGGGCUCGAUCCCAGGACCCUGAAAUCAUGACCUGAGCUGAAGGCAGACGCUCAACUGACUGAACCACCCAGGUUCCCUCAUCCCUUUUUCUUAUUAUGGAUUAUUCUUCUGCGGUUGACUUAUACAUCACUGUGGGCUUCCCGCAGGACUUAGAAAGCCCUGCGGUGGCUCAGGUGGGCAGAUGGACAUUUCUGUGCCUUCCAGCAUGGUAACAGGAUUUCUGGGCCACUGAAGGCACUGGGGAUGUUUCCAGCAGCUCUGGUGAUCUUAAGACGUCCUCAUUACGCCUGGGUUUUUGUCAGUGCUGUCUCCCUGGCUCUGAGCUGAGGGAAGUGGCAGAUACUAAGGCUGCCGGGACGCUGUAACUUAGAACAUUUCUAUAAGGUCCAGUUGCCCCUAUGCCUCCAGUUUGGGCAGUGGCAAUCCCUGGCCUCCAAAAUGACCGAAACUAGUGAGACAGGCUGCUGUGGCACCUUCCGCGGGCAGUCAUCACAGGUUUCUGUGUCCUCACAGCAUCACUGAAACACUUUGGUUUUACCCCUGUCCUUCACUGGCAGCCAGCAAGAGGGGUUACCAGACCCCUACGGUGCCUCAGAAUAUUUUUAAGUGGAUCUGACUGGCCAAAGGUGUCCUUGUUAGGACUUGCAGGCUGCCAAAAGCCAUUGCUAGGCCCCUAAAGGGACAUGUAAAUUUUUCCAAAGUCUCAUCAAGAGGGCAUAGGGUGCCUUUCUAGGUGUGACUUCAUUACCUCAGGUCAAGGCCGUGGAAUCAUUCAGGAGCUCCUCCUGUGAAAGGACAAUCGCUGGUACAACAGGAUCCUCACAGCAGCUGUGCACCUGCGUCUGUUGGUGACACUCACAGUCAUCUCUGGCAACCAGACACCCUUCAUGAUACAGAAAAUAUAUUCGUUGCUGUAAAAGAGAACCUCCAUCAUAAUGGUAAUGACAGUGGUCACAAUAAAAACUGGUGAAUAUCAACAAGAAUGAUGAUUAUUGUCUAUUGACGCUAUUGGCAAUGAUACUAAACCUAUGGACUUGGGACAGAGAACAGAUUCCCCUUAGUGAAUAACAGGUACAAGUAUUGGGCCUCAUGGGGUAGUUUAGAGUCCCAGAAGGCAAAGAUGAAGAGCCAGAAUGAUAAGAAAAUCCGCUUGGAGGUGGGCAUGUGUAAACACAAGGACUCCUGAGUGAGCCUCGCAUUACAAGGCUUACGGGGAACCUUUAAGGUACCCCUAGUCCUGGGUCUCCAUGCCAGCCAAUACCUGGUAGCUUUCAGGAGAGGAGACAGCUGGCUGUUGUGGCAGGGUUCCUCCCAACAAGGGAGGUCUCCAGACUCAGCACCUGGCACCCAGAAGCACAGACUAUGACAAAGAAGCAGCCGCCAGUAUUGUGUCAUCCCAAACCAUCUGGCUGCUCUUCUACUGUCUGCACUUCCAGGACCUUCAGGACUGAUGUAUCUGGGUACUUGUAUCUCCUCCAAGAGCUGCUGGAGGGGGUCACCCUUCAUUCUCUCCUACCUGUGAGAGUGGAAAUGGCUGAAACCAGUGGUUCCCAGGCUUCCUAGAAGAUUCUGUGUUUGCUCCAACAGGCCAGUCACCCUUUCAGUGCCUUUUCGUGUUACUCCAGCUAUCCCUGGACAUUGGAGGAGACUUAGGAAAUUUCUAGAAGCUCAGGAAUUCUGGGAGGCUGUGUGCAUCUUUUGCCAUGGGUUCUUGAACAGAUUUUGAAAAUUCUGCAGAGGCUCUGGUGAGUAGGGAGGCCCUUUCCUGCCAUGCCAGUGACAAAGCAUGGGCUCCUGGUUGCUGAGCUGAUUUUUAAAGAAACCGUAAAUCUCAGUUGGUAACAAAAGCCUUUCAAGAGCCAUUGCUGCCAGUGGGAGGGGUUUGUAAUCCUGAGUUUACUUAGAAAAUCUUUAGGUGGCCAGUUGGUGCAAGGAAGUCUUCUCUGGGGGCUGCAGGUGUGCAUAUAGAGUUUCUGGCAUUUGGGGGAGGUGUCUAAUACUUUCCAGAGCCUAAGAUAAGACCAGGGUGUCCUUUCCAAGUCUCCCCUGCUGGUAUGAGUAGGUCCCUGCAUCCAGAGGAAGCUUGGAAUAGUUCAGGAGACCCAUCCUUUGAAUUAGCAUCAGGCGGUACACAGGGAGCCCGGAGGUCCUGGGUGUGUGCAUGUCUUCGGGUUCCCUUUGGAUAGUCUUCAGUAGACUGGAUAGACUUCACAAACUGAGAAACUUUAUACAACAUCAUAUAUCAACAAUCACACAAAAGAUCCGUGAUAGGAACCAUAAUAAUAGUGAAUGACAACAGUAACAGUCACAAUGAUGAUCUUAACGACACAAAUAUUAAUCACUUUCAUGAAGAUAAUAUUAAGGUAAAGCGAUGGAGAUUGAGAAUGGAUUUCUCGGAGUAUACAACAAUGUACCGACAUAGAGGUUCACGGUAUAGUUUGGAGACAGAGUCCUAGGACUGCACCAUGAAAUGUGGUCUGUGAUGGCAAGGGAAGGCAGUAGCGGGGAAAAGAAAAGAAGCCACAUGAGGCUACCAGUGAAAGUAAGGCCCUGUGUGCCAGCUCUGGAACACACGGCUACCAAGCAUUGGUAAGAGACACUGGUCCAGGUCCUGCCUACCACAGGCACUCAGAAGCUUUCAGUAGUUCUGUCACAUGGAUGGCUGGGUAGGGCUCCCAACCAGGAAGUAGUGACCAGACCCCUGCUGUCCCCUCCAGCCUCAGAAGCCCCGCCUACACAGGGCAUGGAGCCCCCAGCUCUACGUCAGAUCUCACCUCCUGGCUAGCCUUCUGCCAUUUAGUUUCCCUGAAACCCAUUAUGUUAACAGUAUCAUCAUACCAUGCGUUCACCAAAGCCUGUUGGAAGGCAUGAUCCUUGGUACUACCUCACUAGCAGGGGGCCAAACAGGCCAGCACCUGCGGUUCUAGGACUACCAUACAGGACAUAGAAAAUUCUGAGUUUGCUCAGACUGGCAGAGAGCCCUCUCUGGGACUUGCAGUUGAGCUCCAGGCCUGCAUGCCUAAGGUACUUAGAAAAUUUCCAGAGGUUCAUGCAGUCCUAGGACACAAAUGCAUACAGUGGUGGCCCUGAGAGCUCAAAAAUGAACUUAGAAAAAUCUGCAGUUUCUGGAAGAAGGUAAAGAACACUGCUGCCCAUUCAGAGAGAAAGGAAUGGUUUCAUUGCCUGAAAGAGAUUCCUACAUCAAAGUUCUUGAGUCGGAGGAACAUGUGGAAAAAAGACACACCAAACGAAUAUGCCUUAGACCAGGGGAAAUUCCUCCAGAAAAGUACUGGCCAAAGCCUGAAUCCAUCCUCAGGAGACUAGAAUCCCCUCUGCUUUUCAAUGCUGUCAUGAUUUGCUAGUCAAAAUACAGAAUAGGAAAUCCUGAACAGGAAAACCACCUGCUCAGCCAUUCAACCAGGGAUAUCCCUGCUCAGGUGGAAAUGCACA
This 3556-nucleotide long non-coding RNA is filed under the name Canis lupus familiaris (dog). Its description in RNAcentral is "lncRNA (ENSCAFG00000050831.1)". Lineage: Eukaryota; Metazoa; Chordata; Mammalia; Carnivora; Canidae. The record is from RNAcentral.